CAGAGAUGGUUUUAGCAGCAGUUAGUGAUAUCCUUUACAGCGGGAACCAUGGACAUAGACACGUUGAACAUCUCCAGGCCCUAUUCCUUGUAUGGGGCAGAUCCAUCCUCUUCUUGGUGAUAAGCAACAUUUUGCUAAACAGGAAGAACGCUCGUUCCUUCUUGACACGUUGAACACGGAAUGUCCCUUCCAUGAUGAGCUCCCCGAACCCACUCAGGUCUGGACCCUGCCAAUUCACCAGCUUGCUCUGGAUUUCCUGGGGACAGAAAAGUGACCCGAAUACUGAAGACACACAUUGUGGAAAGCCCCUGAUGAGGUCACCUACUCGGGUGAACCGAAAUGCGUAGGGAAUUGUGUAUGGUCCGAAUGCUACAUUUUCAUAUAUGUGAGUGCCAUUUUUUAUGGGAAAUGGGAUUGGUCCUAAUUGAUUGAUGUACGGUGAGUCUAUAUACAC
Hyla sarda is the source of this 454-nucleotide long non-coding RNA. RefSeq lists it as uncharacterized. The transcript has 3 exons. NCBI's taxonomy places the organism in Eukaryota, Metazoa, Chordata, Amphibia, Anura, Hylidae. The record is from RefSeq and is a predicted model, not a curated record.